This 78-nucleotide small nucleolar RNA is filed under the name Monopterus albus (swamp eel). RNAcentral's name for it is "Small nucleolar RNA SNORD53/SNORD92 (ENSMALG00000019109.1)". The record is from RNAcentral. Lineage: Eukaryota; Metazoa; Chordata; Actinopteri; Synbranchiformes; Synbranchidae.
GAGGGAUGAUGAGUCACAAAGGUUUCACUCACUGGACUGAACUCCUGUGCUGUCACUUCCUCUUGGCUGUCUGACCAG